This 253-nucleotide ribosomal RNA is filed under the name uncultured bacterium. Its description in RNAcentral is "partial 16S ribosomal RNA". It matches the Rfam family "Bacterial small subunit ribosomal RNA", at positions 524 to 776 of the family's 1533-position model. The record is from RNAcentral.
GACGAACCGAGCGAACGUUGUUCGGAAUCACUGGGCUUAAAGGGCGCGUAGGCGGUUCGUUAAGUCCUGUGUGAAAUCCCCCGGCUCAACUGGGGAACUGCACAGGAAACUAGCGGGCUUGAGUUCGGGAGAGGGAAGCGGAAUUCCGGGUGUAGUGGUGAAAUGCGUAGAGAUCCGGAGGAACACCAGUGGCGAAGGCGACACGCUGGGCCAUACCUGACGCUAAAGCGCGACAGCAUGGGGAGCAAACGGG